CGCGUAGGCGGUUGUUUAAGUCAGGUGUGAAAGCCCCCGGCUCAACUGGGGAGAGCCACCUGAUACUGGGCGACUAGAGUGCAGGAGAGGAAAGUGGAAUUCCAUGUGUAGCGGUGAAAUGCGUAGAUAUAUGGAGGAACACCAGUGGCAAAGGCGGCUUUCUGGACUGCAACUGACGCUGAGGCGCGAAAGCUGGGGGAGCAAACGGGAUUAGAUACCCCGGUAGUCCCAGCCGUAAACGAUGGAUGCUAGGUGUGGGGGGUAUCGACCCCUUCCGUGCCGCAGUUAACACAAUAAGCAUCCCGCCUGGGGAGUACGGCCGCAAGGUUGAA
Molecule: ribosomal RNA, 332 nt
Filed under: uncultured bacterium
Lineage: Bacteria
Description: bacterial SSU rRNA
Rfam family: Bacterial small subunit ribosomal RNA
Source: RNAcentral